RNAcentral lists this ribosomal RNA (497 nucleotides) under uncultured bacterium. RNAcentral describes it as "partial 16S ribosomal RNA". It matches the Rfam family "Bacterial small subunit ribosomal RNA", at positions 28 to 507 of the family's 1533-position model. The record is from RNAcentral.
GAUGAACGCUGGCGGCGUGCCUAAUACAUGCAAGUCGAGCGAACGGACGAGAAGCUUGCUUCUCUGAUGUUAGCGGCGGACGGGUGAGUAACACGUGGAUAACCUACCUAUAAGACUGGGAUAACUUCGGGAAACCGUAGCUAAUACCGGAUAAUAUUUUGAACCGCAUGGUUCAAAAGUGAAAGACGGUCUUGCUGUCACUUAUAGAUGGAUCCGCGCUGCAUUAGCUAGUUGGUAAGGUAACGGCUUACCAAGGCAACGAUUCAUAGCCGACCUGAGAGGGUGAUCGGCCACACUGGAACUGAGACACGGUCCAGACUCCUGCGGGAGGCAGCAGUAGGGAAUCUUCCGCAAUGGGCGAAAGCCUGACGGAGCAACGCCGCGUGAGUGAUGAAGGUCUUCGGAUCGUAAAACUCUGUUAUUAGGGAAGAACAUAUGUGUAAGUAACUGUGCACAUCUUGACGGUACCUAAUCAGAAAGCCACGGCUAACUACGUG